GGCUCACUUAUUCAGAAGCUUCAGAAAGAAAAAAUAUAUUUCUUGCUAUCAAAUGUUUCAGUAUCAUUUCAAACAAUAAAAAUAAUUUUUAUGAGAUUUUAGUUUUAAAUUCAAUGCUUUACAUCAAUACAUUUCCCUCCCCCUUAUCCACCCCAUGCUGCUGGAAAAAUGGUAUGAGCCAGCCCACAGAAUAAAUCAGCCCCAACAGGGCCCCCUCCCUCUGGCUGGCACAUUCCACUCCCUUCAGAGGGGAGUUUUAUGAAUGUACCAAGAGACUAGUGUUCAUUGUAGCAGAAUUGCAGUGCACUGGACUGUACAGAACUGGGUAGCAUCCACACUGUCUAUGAGGGUGCGGUCCGGCUGCACUGAAAGCAACAACACUGACAGAUAGAGAGAGAGAGAGAAGGAAUAAGACAGAAGAGGAGGGAGAGAUAUCACCACAAGAGGAAUACAGCAAGGAAAGAUUUCCGAUGAUCUUCACCUGGAAAUGAAGGGACUCAGGAUGAUGAAAUGUGUUGCUAUCAGAACAUUGCAAUCAAAGGAUGAAAGGAGACACCCCUGUGAACAGCACCAUGAGUGUCGGUCAGACCAGGAAGCUGGUGGAACAGCUUAAGAUCGAAGCCAGUUUUUGUCGAAUCAAGGUGUCUAAGGCAGCAGCGGACUUGAUGGCCUACUGUGAUGCCCAUGCAUGUGAGGACCCUCUCAUCACCCCUGUGCCCACUUCAGAAAACCCGUUCAGGGAGAAAAAAUUCUUCUGUGCUCUGCUCUGAACAGGACACCGGAAGGGCAGAAUUAGUCUCAUUUAGAUGACAAUGAUUUGUGUACACACAUCACACAACACUCGACGAGACACGACACAGAAAAAUAAAUCCCAAAUUAAGCUUUAAUAAAUGCAAAGUGGUUUCCAAAUUUCAGCAGCUGACAGCGCCAAAUUUACAAAAUCAUUCUCGUGAGAAUAUUUUUAUUCUCCUGUUUUUUUUGGGGAAACCUUGUUCCUUUUAAUUAAGGGGACAAAAUAACAUCAAGAUUGAUACAAAUUGAUUAGAUGAAAUCACACACUGAUACACACAUAUGCAAGCACAGUUUUUUAAUUAAGCAAAAGGUAAUAGGUGCGGGUCUGGAUAUUUCAAUGAUUUCAAAUGUUAUUAUAUUCAAGACAUUGGUUUUGUUCUUCACAUAGCAUACUAUGGUGAUUUACAAAUUCUUUAUGUAUAUUUAGAUUUUUUUUUAAAUGUUUUGUUUGAGGUGGCUAUGUACACUGGUAGACAUUUCUGAUGAACUGGUAGAGCUUUUAAAGUUUAAAUCAUGUGAGAUGAUGAGACUGCUAAUACCUACACACAAAUACCACCAGUACAUAACGCUCCUAAAGGGAUUUGUUAUGUCCUAAAACCGAUUUAAUUUUUCUGACCACUUAAACAAGAGGUAGAGGUAUCAAGUCUCUAAGAGUUGGAAAUUAGCUUAAAAGAUGAAUUAUUGGAGAAAAAUGUAAAGAGAAUAUCUGUCAAAACUUGUGGUCCCAAGUAACAGAUUAAAUAAUGCAGACAGAAUCCAAUGAAGGAAUGAAUAAAACUUUUAAACACAACACACUUAUGUGUACCACUUAUUGAGAUUAAGGAGAAAAAAAUAACUCACUAUUGUUCUUUUUGUUGUUGUUGAGGAAAUUAAUAAUUUUAUUCAGCAAGGACAAAAAAUAAUAAGUGACAUUAGGUUUAUGUUACAAAAGAUUUCUAUUUCAAAUCAAAAUUUAAAUAAAAUAUACUUUUUAACUUUCUAGUCAUCAUUCUAGGAUCACCAUUAUUACAAAAUUAAGCAGCACAACCGUUUUCAACAUUGAUAAUAAAUGUUUCUUGAGCAGCAAAUCAACAUAUUAGAAUGAUUUCUGAAGGAUCAUGAGACUCUGAAAAGUGGAGUGACAACUGCUGAAAAUUCAGCUUCACUAUCCCAGAAAAAAAUUACAUUUUAAAAUAGAAAACAGUUAUUCUAAAUUGUAAUAAUUUCAUAAUAUUACUAUUUUUACUGAUCAAUUAAAUGCAACCUAGGUGAGUAUGAGAUACAUCUUAGUCUUUCAAAAUAAUUAACUACCACAAACUUUUUAACAGUAGUGUAUGUUCAUGAUUUGUAAUAAUCCAAAGCAAAACAGGUAAUUCCACUUCUGUUACAACAGGUUGAGCUGGAUUGGUAAUAAUGUUUUUCAUUCCACAUCCUCACCACACACCCUAUCAAUUACUACUUUUUGGACAAUUUGUUCAAAAAGAAAUAAAAUGCAAAACACAAAAAGGUUAAUAAAAAAAAAAAUAGUAGAAUCAUAAGAAUAUUUAUGAAAAUUUCUUACACCAUUCAUGCAGCAUUUUAAACAUCUGACAGCAGCAAAUGCCAAUCAAGAUGUGAAUUAAGUGGCUACACUAUGCAGAAUGAAUCAGACCACGCAUCUUUAGGUACACAUGCACACUUAAAACAAAUCCAGAUUUUUAUUAAGGCAAUUGUGGCUUGGGAGCAUAAAAACCAUAUCACAAAAUGACACCAUUAUGCAUCUGAUCAUUUGAAUAAUACAUAUUAAAGAACAGUGACAAGUUCACAUAAACCUUUAAAAGUGGCACAUUUUGGACAGUUAGUUAAAACCUUCAAACAUCAUAAACAGAGAUCUUGGCAAAUGUGUAUUUGGAUACUGCAUAUGCAUGGAUGACUUUGUGUCACACCCCCAAAACUAAAGAUCCAGUGUGAAUGAUGUUUGAACAACACAAAAUAAGCUGUUAUAUUACAAGUGUACCCAUCUGAAGACCUUCUAGUGUGAUAAUUCUAUGCUAAGAAUUAAUAUCAAUACAUCCAAAAAAGAUGUACGAAAAGACAAAAUGAUAAAGUGAGGUAAAUGUAUUCCACAUACAAGUGUAGGUGGGGGGGGCUGUGAAUAUACAACAACAACUAAAAAAAGUCAACUACAGGAAUGAGUCACACCACUCUCUCAGACAGCUAUAACAGUCGCCUUGCUGUUUAGUGUUGGCUCCACAAGUAUCCUUCAACCAUUCCCGAAACAACUCUUCAUCUUUCUUCAGUACCAAGAACUGUCCUAGAACAACAUAUGCCUAAAGGAGGAAAAAGCAAAAGAAAGAAAAAAAAAUUAUGGUUUCAGUUUCAUGACUACGGAGUAUACAUGAAACAUCUUUUUACAUCAUACCUUGUCAAAGCCCUUCUCUUCCAAUCUCCUUCCAAGAACUUCACCGAUUCCUGCAAGUGCCAUCACAGACUUCUCCCCCAUGGGCUCUGCCACAAAGUCCUUGUGUUUUUGUGAUGUCGACGACAUGGUUGAUUUGUAUUAGAGAGGGCUGUGGGAUUUCAAGUUGAUUUCUUCAGUGGCUUAAGGCAGAGGAACAGGAGAAAAACACGCAUGUUAAAAGGUUUGAUUUCUUCAUAGCCGAAAACUACCUGCACAUAUAAUUCAAACCAAAACGAAUACAUAAAAAAAAAACAUCUAUUCAAUAUAUAAUUUCAGCUAACGUUAUUGCUAAAAUGCAAAUGUGCCUUCCCUGAAAAUCAGCCAAAUUGCAUCUCAUUUCCUCAUGUAUUAUAAUAACGUUAUAUUGUAACACUGAGAAAGGAAAGUGAAAGUAAGUUACGAGACUUCAGGGAAAGCAAAAGUCAAAACUACACAGAGGAUUAAUAAAACCCAUCAAAAACGCAAUAGACGCAUUGUUUUGAAAUUAUGCAGCUGAUAAGAGUAAAGUCUUUAAUUUACACGAGUUUUUGAGGUCCCGCCUCAUUUCUUCGCGGUCAGCGUCACACAACGACAGCUGACACACCACUCUCUAUACAUUUAAAAUAUAAUAAUAACCUAGGUGGCAAACACAACAGUAUGAACAGUAUUCUUAAGCACACGUGCAGCUGUAACACAGUUUAUAUCAUACCUGGACACUAUCAUGGAGAAACUUUAAUCCUCAUUCGCAAACGCCGUGUUGUUCACAAUCUCAAUGCGCCCAAAAUAACUCACACAGAUCCUGAUCCCGCCUUUAGAAAGAACAACGUCACUUCCGCCCUAAUAAUGAUGCUGCUGUUCAGAGAGACGCGGACCCCUGGUGGCUCCAGCUAUCUGGUGGAACGGGUGGAACUCAAAUAAAAUUUAAAUACACAAAUUGUAUAUUAAGCAAGUUCUUCACUUGUAGAAUGUGAUUCUAUUGUGUGAAAUGUCACUGAUAUAUUGCUUUAAAAGUGUAUUGGUUAAUAAUAACAUAAAACCCAGAAUAGAAUAUUCAGAAUAGAAAUGAACACCAGGGGGCAGGGAUACAUUAAAAACAACUUCAUGUACAGGUAAAUUUGUAAGAGAAGCUAGAGGACAAUUUACACAGUAUAAGAUCAUACACAGGUUUUAUUUGACACCUCCUAGACUCAAUAGAAUGGGUCUGACAAAUCAUAAUGUUUGUUGAGGUACUUUUAUUCAGUGUAUCUGGGAAUGUCCACUUAUUCAGCCUUUAUGGCACCAAACUUUAAAUAUUCUGAGCAAAUGGCUUGGGACAACAAUACCAUUAUCACCAAGGCUGUGUCUAUUGGGGGACAAGGAGCAGAUGCCAAAUAUUACAAAAGGAGAGUUCGCAGUGAUCAUGGUGGGGGUCUCAGUGACGGCUGGAGUCAUCUUGAAACACUGGAAAACUCCCAAAACCCCGGAGCUAAAAGACUGGGUCAACAUCAUGACUAAGACGGCUUCGUACGAACAUUUGCUUUACAAACUACUUAAUAAGAACAAAGCAGGGGUCACUGUGGGUAUUCCGGUUUGGGAAGAUUUUUGGUCUUAUGUGACGCUAUCUUUCCAUGUAACACAAUAAUUUAGAUUUUUCAUUAUUAUUAUAACUGUUUAUUUAUUUAUUUAUUUAUUUAUUUAUUAUUUUACAUUUAUUUUUUAUUUUUUUAAAUUAUUUUUUUAUUAUUAUUAACAUUAUUUUAUAUAUAAUCUCUG
Molecule: long non-coding RNA, 4942 nt
Organism: Cyprinus carpio carpio
Lineage: Eukaryota; Metazoa; Chordata; Actinopteri; Cypriniformes; Cyprinidae
Source: Ensembl